CGGGCACGGUACCGAGCACCACGCUUCGGACUAGACACGAAACACGGCACCAGGUACGGCAGACGGUCCGCAGGGACGACGCCGGCCCGGACUCGCCGGGCUGGGGGAUUCCUGCGACCUCACCGCGCUGGGAGAGGAAACUAUCCGUUCACCACUAAAGCACCCUGCUGUUCCGCCGGUCUCUCCAUCCCAGCAGAUAUCCACACACCAAACCACCGGCUGCGAACCGUACUAAAAACAGCUCUACGGAAGACAGGAGCAGUUCAACAGGGAGCAGCUGGUCCUGCCGCAAUGGGAAGUGUCCACGCUCCUCACAAGACUUUGAUGCUCUGUUCAAGGGGACGUGGUCCUUUUCAUUAAAUAUUCUAUCCUUUCGGUUGAUCCUCUUAUUUUUAACCAGCUUCAAGUUAUAUGUCACUACAGUGGCUUUUUGGGUGGGGAAGGGAGAAAAUGACCUUUUGCUCCUACAGAAACAA
Long non-coding RNA from Columba livia (rock pigeon), 476 nucleotides. RefSeq lists it as uncharacterized. NCBI's taxonomy places the organism in Eukaryota, Metazoa, Chordata, Aves, Columbiformes, Columbidae. The transcript has 2 exons. The record is from RefSeq and is a predicted model, not a curated record.